RNAcentral lists this ribosomal RNA (2113 nucleotides) under Escherichia coli. RNAcentral's name for it is "bacterial LSU rRNA". It matches the Rfam family "Bacterial large subunit ribosomal RNA", at positions 1 to 2141 of the family's 2925-position model. The record is from RNAcentral. Lineage: Bacteria; Pseudomonadati; Pseudomonadota; Gammaproteobacteria; Enterobacterales; Enterobacteriaceae.
UUAAGCGACUAAGCGUACACGGUGGAUGCCCUGGCAGUCAGAGGCGAUGAAGGACGUGCUAAUCUGCGAUAAGCGUCGGUAAGGUGAUAUGAACCGUUAUAACCGGCGAUUUCCGAAUGGGGAAACCCAGUGUGAUUCGUCACACUAUCAUUAACUGAAUCCAUAGGUUAAUGAGGCGAACCGGGGGAACUGAAACAUCUAAGUACCCCGAGGAAAAGAAAUCAACCGAGAUUCCCCCAGUAGCGGCGAGCGAACGGGGAGCAGCCCAGAGCCUGAAUCAGUGUGUGUGUUAGUGGAAGCGUCUGGAAAGGCGCGCGAUACAGGGUGACAGCCCCGUACACAAAAAUGCACAUGCUGUGAGCUCGAUGAGUAGGGCGGGACACGUGGUAUCCUGUCUGAAUAUGGGGGGACCAUCCUCCAAGGCUAAAUACUCCUGACUGACCGAUAGUGAACCAGUACCGUGAGGGAAAGGCGAAAAGAACCCCGGCGAGGGGAGUGAAAAAGAACCUGAAACCGUGUACGUACAAGCAGUGGGAGCACGCUUAGGCGUGUGACUGCGUACCUUUUGUAUAAUGGGUCAGCGACUUAUAUUCUGUAGCAAGGUUAACCGAAUAGGGGAGCCGAAGGGAAACCGAGUCUUAACUGGGCGUUAAGUUGCAGGGUAUAGACCCGAAACCCGGUGAUCUAGCCAUGGGCAGGUUGAAGGUUGGGUAACACUAACUGGAGGACCGAACCGACUAAUGUUGAAAAAUUAGCGGAUGACUUGUGGCUGGGGGUGAAAGGCCAAUCAAACCGGGAGAUAGCUGGUUCUCCCCGAAAGCUAUUUAGGUAGCGCCUCGUGAAUUCAUCUCCGGGGGUAGAGCACUGUUUCGGCAAGGGGGUCAUCCCGACUUACCAACCCGAUGCAAACUGCGAAUACCGGAGAAUGUUAUCACGGGAGACACACGGCGGGUGCUAACGUCCGUCGUGAAGAGGGAAACAACCCAGACCGCCAGCUAAGGUCCCAAAGUCAUGGUUAAGUGGGAAACGAUGUGGGAAGGCCCAGACAGCCAGGAUGUUGGCUUAGAAGCAGCCAUCAUUUAAAGAAAGCGUAAUAGCUCACUGGUCGAGUCGGCCUGCGCGGAAGAUGUAACGGGGCUAAACCAUGCACCGAAGCUGCGGCAGCGACGCUGAUGCGUUGUUGGGUAGGGGAGCGUUCUGUAAGCCUGCGAAGGUGUGCUGUGAGGCAUGCUGGAGGUAUCAGAAGUGCGAAUGCUGACAUAAGUAACGAUAAAGCGGGUGAAAAGCCCGCUCGCCGGAAGACCAAGGGUUCCUGUCCAACGUUAAUCGGGGCAGGGUGAGUCGACCCCUAAGGCGAGGCCGAAAGGCGUAGUCGAUGGGAAACAGGUUAAUAUUCCUGUACUUGGUGUUACUGCGAAGGGGGGACGGAGAAGGCUAUGUUGGCCGGGCGACGGUUGUCCCGGUUUAAGCGUGUAGGCUGGUUUUCCAGGCAAAUCCGGAAAAUCAAGGCUGAGGCGUGAUGACGAGGCACUACGGUGCUGAAGCAACAAAUGCCCUGCUUCCAGGAAAAGCCUCUAAGCAUCAGGUAACAUCAAAUCGUACCCCAAACCGACACAGGUGGUCAGGUAGAGAAUACCAAGGCGCUUGAGAGAACUCGGGUGAAGGAACUAGGCAAAAUGGUGCCGUAACUUCGGGAGAAGGCACGCUGAUAUGUAGGUGAAGUCCCUCGCGGAUGGAGCUGAAAUCAGUCGAAGAUACCAGCUGGCUGCAACUGUUUAUUAAAAACACAGCACUGUGCAAACACGAAAGUGGACGUAUACGGUGUGACGCCUGCCCGGUGCCGGAAGGUUAAUUGAUGGGGUCAGCGCAAGCGAAGCUCUUGAUCGAAGCCCCGGUAAACGGCGGCCGUAACUAUAACGGUCCUAAGGUAGCGAAAUUCCUUGUCGGGUAAGUUCCGACCUGCACGAAUGGCGUAAUGAUGGCCAGGCUGUCUCCACCCGAGACUCAGUGAAAUUGAACUCGCUGUGAAGAUGCAGUGUACCCGCGGCAAGACGGAAAGACCCCGUGAACCUUUACUAUAGCUUGACACUGAACAUUGAGCCUUGAUGUGUAG